GCCACCACGCCCAGCUAAUUUUUGUAUUUUUAGCAGAGACAGGGUUUCGCCAUGGUGGCCAGGCUGUUCUUGAACUCCUGACCUCAGGUGAUCCACCCACCUCGGCCUCCCAAGUGCUGGGAUUACAGGCGGGAGCCACUGCGCCCAGCCUGGUUUGUGGAUUUUUAAAUUUCAGAACCAGGAAGACAGCGCUUCCAGCAACCCGUUUGCGCUCCCCAACUCUGUCACACCCCCCUUACCGACAUUUGCGCGGGUGACCACAGCCUACGGGUCGUACCAGGACGCCAACAUUCCCUUUCCUAGGACUUCUGGGGCCAGGUUCUGCGGAGCAGGUUACCUGGUGUAUUUCACAAGGCCCAUGACGAUGCAUCGGGCGGUGUCUCCCACAGAGCCUACUCCGAGAUAAUCUAGUGCAGCAGAUAGGAGGGUGGACUUCAGAGCCAGACUGCUGGGUCCAAAUUUUGGCCCUGUCAUUUUAUGACCUUGAGCAAGUUAUCUCAACUUCAGCUUCAGUUUCUUCAACAGUAACAUGGGGAUGAUCAUAGCACCUACCACCUGCAGUUGCUGGGAAGAUUAAGUUCCUCUAAAAACAUUUGAAAGGCCGGGUGCAGUGGCUCACACCUGUAAUCCCAGCAUUUUGGGAGGCCGAGGUGUGAGGAUCACUUGAGGUCAGGAGUUCAAGACCAGCCUGGCCAACAUGGUG
Molecule: long non-coding RNA, 703 nt
Organism: Pongo pygmaeus (Bornean orangutan)
Lineage: Eukaryota; Metazoa; Chordata; Mammalia; Primates; Hominidae
Exons: 3
Source: RefSeq, a predicted model, not a curated record